GCUCAGAUGUGCGCCAGUGGUCUGGUGUGCGGGCUUCAAACCCGUAGCAGAGCGGUUCGAUUCCACCUUAUAGGCG
Molecule: non-coding RNA, 76 nt
Organism: Caerostris extrusa
Lineage: Eukaryota; Metazoa; Arthropoda; Arachnida; Araneae; Araneidae
Source: the annotation of a GenBank genome assembly